Molecule: long non-coding RNA, 540 nt
Filed under: Olea europaea subsp. europaea
Lineage: Eukaryota; Viridiplantae; Streptophyta; Magnoliopsida; Lamiales; Oleaceae
Source: RNAcentral
GUUCUAAUUAAAAUUAUUAAGUAAAUAAUCAGGUAUCAAGGAUUCGACAAUGUUCUCUGAAGGAUAAAGUAACCUUUUUAUUCUCUUAUGUGUGAGAAGAAGAGCAGUAACAUCCGCUAUUGUAAACAGCCAAAUAAAACCUGAUGACUUCAAGAUGAAAAUUGCAGACCGUGAAUUUUAAUAAAGAAAAAAAAGAAGUGUAAUGAACAAGCUAAUUACUUAAUCAGUCGAGGUAAAAGGAGAUGGACAAGGGGGAAAUUUAACUUCAAGAAUUCCUUCAAGCAUUUGGCAGGCCUUUCUCAUGGUUGGCCUCAGAGAUGAAUCUUCUUGAAUGCACCAAAUGCCAACCAUCACGAACCUUUCUAGUCUUUUCUUGUCAUUUAAGGCUUCUGUAUCAUCUACAACCAAAUUAUCCAACCUUCCUUCCUGAAAGCAGUCCCAAACCCAAUCUUCAAGAAUUGGAUUUUCUCCUUCUCCAAAUUCCAAAUCUACCAGGCUUCUUCUGCAUGUAAUGAUCUCUAGUAGUAAAAUGCCNAUGAA